AUACAGAGGGUGCGAGCGUUAAUCGGAAUUACUGGGCGUAAAGCGCGCGUAGGCGGCUUGGUCAGUCGGAUGUGAAAGCCCUGGGCUCAACCUAGGAACUGCAUUCGAUACUGGGCAUCUAGAGUAUGGUAGAGGGAAGUGGAAUUUCCGGAGUAGCGGUGAAAUGCGUAGAUAUCGGAAGGAACACCAGUGGCGAAGGCGACUUCCUGGACCAAUACUGACACUGAGGUGCGAAAGCGUGGGGAGCAAACAGGAUUAGAUACCCCUGUAGUCC
This 274-nucleotide ribosomal RNA is filed under the name uncultured bacterium. Its description in RNAcentral is "partial 16S ribosomal RNA". It matches the Rfam family "Bacterial small subunit ribosomal RNA", at positions 523 to 796 of the family's 1533-position model. The record is from RNAcentral.